Molecule: ribosomal RNA, 485 nt
Filed under: uncultured bacterium
Lineage: Bacteria
Description: bacterial SSU rRNA
Rfam family: Bacterial small subunit ribosomal RNA
Source: RNAcentral
AUUGAACGCUGGCGGCAGGCCUAACACAUGCAAGUCGAACGUGAAAGCUCCUUCGGGAGUAAGUAGAGUGGCGAACGGGUGAGUAACGCGUAGACAUCUUCCCAAGAGUGGGGAACAACCCGGAGAAAUCCGGGCUAAUACCGCAUAUACCCUACGGGGCAAAGUGGGGGACCUUUCGGGGCCUCACGCUUUUGGAUGAGUCUGCGUCGGAUUAGCUUGUUGGUAGGGUAAUGGCCUACCAAGGCGACGAUCCGUAGCUGGUCUGAGAGGAUGACCAGCCACACUGGGACUGAGACACGGCCCAGACUCCUACGGGAGGCAGCAGUGGGGAAUAUUGGACAAUGGGGGCAACCCUGAUCCAGCCAUGCCGCGUGUGUGAAGAAGGCCUUCGGGUUGUAAAGCACUUUCAGUGGGGAAGAAAAGCCUAAGGAUAAUACCCUUGGGUCUUGACGGUACCUACAGAAGAAGCACCGGCUAAUUCCGUG